RNAcentral lists this microRNA precursor (84 nucleotides) under Bombyx mori (domestic silkworm). RNAcentral's name for it is "mir-2807 microRNA precursor family". It matches the Rfam family "mir-2807 microRNA precursor family". Lineage: Eukaryota; Metazoa; Arthropoda; Insecta; Lepidoptera; Bombycidae. The record is from Rfam by way of RNAcentral.
UGAACUCAAAUUUGUAUGACAUUGGAACUUUCGCCUACAUUUGGCGCUAGGGGCGUUGUUCCAAUCCCAUUCAAAAUUGAGUUA